GAGAGACAACAGAAGAGACUGUGUCUCAAAAGGCCAGAAGAAAGAGAGGCAUUCCCCAACCAAGACAGAUUCACAAGACAAUCCGGAGAGCAUGGAAAACAUCCUGAUAUCAGUAUCAGAUCCUGACAACACCCAAGGCACUGAGGGCCCAGGGCUGGUUGACUCUGUCUUCUUCACAGUGGCAACCUGUGGCAGUCUGAUUGGACAAGCUGUCUCCCUUCAGUCCAUCACCCAGUCUGAAAUGUACAACAGCCAAGAUUGAAGUUCAAGAAGUGGAGACAACUGCAGAUGUGAUGGUCAAGACUGAAGUCAAGGAAGUACUUGAACUCUUGAACCGUUCAAUCUAGAGACACCAAACCAACUUUCACAGGUUCAGGCUGUCCAAACUUCAAAUUCUUUAAAAACUUUUAUUAACUAAUAACUAUAUAAAUGUGCACACGUUUGCAUAACAUAACCUACCAACAGUAACUCUUAAACCGUUCCAGCUACAUACACCAAACCAACUUUCACAUGUUCAGGCUAUCCUAACUUCAAAUUCUUUAAAACUUUUAUCAAGUAUAACGAUCUAAAUUAGCAUAAAAUAACUAAUCAACAGUAACUCUUGAACUGUUCAAGCUAGAUACACCAUACCAACUUUCAUAUGUUCAGGCUAUUCUACAUUUUUCAACUAUAACCAGUCACCACCAUUACUACUGCAGACACUACCACUACU
Salvelinus sp. IW2-2015 is the source of this 712-nucleotide long non-coding RNA. RefSeq lists it as uncharacterized. The transcript has 3 exons. Lineage: Eukaryota; Metazoa; Chordata; Actinopteri; Salmoniformes; Salmonidae. The record is from RefSeq and is a predicted model, not a curated record.